UACGGAGGGUGCAAGCGUUAAUCGGAAUUACUGGGCGUAAAGCGUGCGCAGGCGGUUUCUUAAGUCAGAUGUGAAAGCCCCGGGCUUAACCUGGGAAUGGCAUUUGGGACUGCAAGGCUUGAGUGCGGCAGAGGAGACUGGAAUUCCUGGUGUAGCAGUGAAAUGCGUAGAUAUCAGGAAGAACACCCGUGGCGAAGGCGGUUCUCUGGGACGGUACUGACGCUGAGACGCGAAAGCGUGGGGAGCGAACAGG
Molecule: ribosomal RNA, 253 nt
Filed under: uncultured bacterium
Lineage: Bacteria
Description: partial 16S ribosomal RNA
Rfam family: Bacterial small subunit ribosomal RNA
Source: RNAcentral